CAGGGAGACAAAACUGAUUUUGAUGUCUGAAUUAUUUAUCUUUAGACCAGAAUCCUGUCACCUUAGGUCGAUCGGUACCUCAAUUAGAUAAUAAAAAACUAUGAAAUUAGCUUUAAAUAUUAUUUAAUUCAGUUCCUAAACUUUGUCUAGGUCACACCCAGCAAGGGUUCUCCUGGGCCAUUAGCUCAGGUGGUUAGAGCGCACCCCUGAUAAGGGUGAGGUCCCUGGUUCUAGUCCAGGAUGGCCCAUUCGGUGUUGGGGGUAUAGCUCAGUUGGUAGAGCGCCUGCUUUGCAAGCAGGAUGUCAGCGGUUCGAGUCCGCUUACCUCCACUGAUCUACCUGUUGAUAGCGAAUCCUAAGGAGGUUUUUGUUGAUUUGAUCUAGUAUUUGUUCUUGAUGAAUGAACCUAGCUUCUUGUCAUUCCUACUAAACAUCAUUUUUAGUUAUGGCUGAUAAGACGCUGGGCUCCCUGCAAUACUAAUUGCAGAGAUGUUCAGUAGAACCUUGACGACUGCAUAGGUGAGUCUGGAAAAAUAAAGCAUCUCAUAGAUGCAUUAUUUUUUUGGAUCAAAUUUGAACUCUGAUUUAAUCAGAUUACUAAUUUGAUUCGAAAUUUUAAUGUUUGAUUCUUGAGCAAGAGCCGAGACUCUGUAACGCUCUUUUGAUGUUUUUAUACAUUAAGAGUCAGAUUUUUAAUUUUGUUUUUCGCUAUAUGAUUUUUGGAUAAUAUCUAAAUCUCUAAUAACUGAAAAUACUUAAUUAAUAAGAACAGUGUUGACAACACAUGGCGUUAUAGAGAUUUAUAU
This 806-nucleotide transfer RNA is filed under the name uncultured cyanobacterium. RNAcentral's name for it is "partial miscellaneous RNA". The stretch from base 258 to 330 matches the Rfam family "tRNA". Lineage: Bacteria; Bacillati; Cyanobacteriota. The record is from RNAcentral.